Phalacrocorax carbo (great cormorant) is the source of this 4305-nucleotide non-coding RNA. The record is from RefSeq and is a predicted model, not a curated record. Lineage: Eukaryota; Metazoa; Chordata; Aves; Suliformes; Phalacrocoracidae.
CCUGUGCGGGUGCCAGAGCAGGGGCACAGGCUGCCCAGAGAGGCUGUGGGGUCCCUUCCCUGGAGACAUUCACCCCCCGCCUGGACGCGGCCCUGUGCCCCUGCUCUGGGGGUGCCUGCUCAGGCAGGGGGUGGGACGGGGUGAGCUCCAGAGGGCCCUUCCGACCCCCACCAGUCUGGGAUUCUGUAUCACAGGACCUAUUUGACAGGGUUUGCUGGAGCUGCCAUCAAUACUUCAAAGCAGUCUUUAAAAUUCAAAGUAGUCAUCCCAUUGUCAAGUGAUUAAGUGAAUAUAUUUUAAAGUAAUUAAUUGCUGCUUAAUUGCCAUACAGGUUGCUAUCCUGUAUAAAAAAAAAUUCCUGGAAAUUUUAAUUGCUGUAAUAAGCUAAUGAAUUUUUUUAAGUAUUUGUGUUAAGACUGAACAAUCCUAAGGUAUCUGCACAGCUUAUGCCUAGUUUGCAAAUCUCAAAGAGGUGCUCAUAAAUUUUUUAAAAGCGUGAGCUGGCGCUGUUUCAGUAAAAGAACUGAAUCAAAUGAAAAUCCUGAAAUGCGUUUUUGGGAAGCUUAAUUAAAAUAACUGCUGAUAUGAAGUGCUAUGGGAUAAGACCUGUACAUAACAAAAAAAAAAAAAAAAAAAAAAUUAGAAGUUUGUAAAACAAGUUUUUCCUUCAAAGCAGUCGCCUCUGAAAAACGAGGCUGGCCCAUCAAACUUCUGAUAGAACUUUAAACCAUUUUGCUGUGAAUGGCACUGUAUAUAUUUUGGCUAGGGAAAAUAUUUUAUCGUUCUUUGGCUUCUGCGUGCCACCUAUGGAAUGCAAAAAUCAUAUACCUGCUGUAAAACAAAUUGUGGGACGGGCCAGGUGUCCAGGAGCGAGGCUGGUUUCCAUAAGCGAGUGAUCAAACAGCUCCGAGUCUGCUUGAGAUGCCGCCAGUGACGCCGGUCGAAAAGGUCUCACCGCUUGUAGCUUUCCUGUGUCUGGCUGGGCUAUUUACAUCCUGCCUACGCUUCCGAACGGUGCCUGUGCGAGCAGGUGCUCAGGGGGCGCAGCUAAUGGUGUUCAGGGUGUAUAGCCCUAUUCUAUCCCUAAGGCCGAUUAUUGUACGAGAGUCAAUAUUAGACGGUUUGUGCCAUGGUGUAGGAAUUCUGGUGUGAUUUUAGUCUCGGCUGUCGCUACAGCUGUGAUGACUUGCUCUCACUGCCGCAGGCGGCGUCGCCAAAGCAGCGCCGCGCGCUUAGCUGAAGCUGGCAGGCAUCUGUGCUGAUCAUACCAUCUGCACCGCUUCUGCUGGCCGGCCAUCGGUGUCUCCGUUUGGUGGCUCCAACCCUGAAAAUAUGUUACUGAAUAUUUUUGGCUCUGUUAGUCAUCCUGUAAAAACUCAAAAAAAGCCUGUUCCAUGGUAUGGCAACAAACCAAUUCGCCAAACUUCUCCGGAAGCCAGGUACCGCAUCCCGGGGGGAAGGAGAGGCUGCUGCCAUCUGGGCAGCUUCUGGAUCAAGGACGCCGUGCCUCGUGCCGUGCAAGAAUGCGCAGCUAAGGGCUGUGUGAGUCUCCAAAUCGGUGCUUCAUUUGAGGGAGUAACGCAUCCUCUGGGCACUGCACUUUGAAGAACAUCACCAGCUCAGCUCUCGGCUAUUUCCAUGGUGAAAUCACGACUCCACUCUGAAGUCCAGUCCUGCAUUACUUUCAUCAAUCUAGUGUUUUAUACCAGCUACCCUCAUUUGUGUGAAUUCGGAUAGAUUCAAGAAAUCUUCCUGUCUCCCCUGCCAAGUGCGUUCGCAGAACGAAGCCGACUUGGCAAAACGAAACGGAUGUCUCCCAUGCAACUGGAAGUCCAGAAGCCUCAUCCGCAGCCGCUUUGGGGAUGCAUCCAGGCGUACAACGAGAGCAGCAGCGAGAAUCCGACAGCUCUGCGCGCUUCCGAAAGCAGCAGCUACCGGCGAUUUUAUAAAUGGAAACCAGCAUUUCAACGUCGCGGCCUCAAGCUGCUUUGAAGAGAAGCGGUGCCCAUGCUCGCCUCUCCUGGAAUGACGGGGCCACGGUGCCUGGGGGGUUUCUAACACCCAUCACAGAGAUGGAGAUGGUCCUUGUCCGGUGAGAGCUGCCUGGCGGGGGUGCAGGAGGAGGCAUCUGGUUUGACUGUGCCAAACUCCCAGCUGAAAAUAAGUGCUUUUAUGGCCACUUUACCUGGGUUGUUGAGCGGUGUCAGCCUCCCAUGGAGUCAGUGGACUUUGAAUGUUCUCAGCGCUUCCUGGGUAUAUCCAGCAUGCACGGUCAGACACUGCAACUCUAAACUCAAUGGAAAACAAGUGACUGAUGCAAAGCCACUUCUAUGGACUCUGCUCUGGUUUUUAUAGCUCUCGUGUAGAACAAGUGGGUUUAACCCAGUUGCCCUGUGGUUGUUCCCUUUCCCUGCAUAUAAAGCCAAAGAAAAAUCGUGUUAUACUUUUACUUAAAAGAUUUUUACUUGCGGAUUCAAAUAUAUGCAACUAUUGUUGGCAGGCUUUGUUUAGUUUAGGUUUGUUGGUUGGCAUGUUUAAUUUUGAAUUUGUUAGUCCUUAGGACUUUGUGAAGCCUGCUUUGGUUUCCUGGUGUGUUUUGUGGGAUAGCGAUACACAAAGUGCCUCGAUAUCUGUUGUGAUUAAUGCUCUGGAGGAACUUGUUAAUGGUCAUGGAACCACUGCGUGUUUGAAGGUUGUGACACAGCAGUUAGUUUUCCCCGACUUCCCAUGCCCCAGCAGGCACAGGAUUUAGACUUGCAGAUGCUCCGUAAGAAACGAUCUCCUUAUGAGGAGUCCCAGACUUGGCCCGUAGAGCCGGGACGUUGUGAUGGUGGGGAUAAGCUUAAAUAACCUCUCUGGCCACAGCCAGCUUAUCUAAAUGAAAACCCAAGUGACAAAUGCUUUGGAAUCUUUCCCAUCACUACUGCAAAAGCCCAUAUUCAAAAAAGAAAAUGAAAUGUUUCAGUUUUCAAUUUAAAGAGAGUGCAGGUAUUUCGGCUCCAAAAAAAAUUAGAUGGUAGAUUAUUAAAAGAACGUUUCGGUGUCCAAAAAUGACAUAUUGCAAAAUUCCACAAUUUAUUCAAAGUAAACAAAACAAAUCGAGCCCUUUCUGGUGGAAAACGGUGGAAAUAUCAGCGAAGAUGUUAAUUCUCGGGUCGCCGUUUUCUCGGGAGAGGCUCACCGUGUUAUUUUCCCACCGCAAGCCUACAGCAGCAGCACAGGGGAGGGCUGAAAGCCGGGCUAAGGCUGUUUCGGGAGACGACCGAACUCUGCGAUUUCGCACGCCGCCGCCCGCUUUGGCGACGUGUAACCCUCGAUCCGACGGCCGCGGGAGCUGCUGCGAGCUCUGACAGACACCAGCGUACCCCGCAGGCUCGGCAGCGGCUGCCGGCCGGGCUAGCUGCCCCAAACCUCCCCUGCGAGGCGGGAGGCAGCGCCGCUGCGGCAUCGGCGGAAGGUGCCGGCGCGUGGUGGCGAGGCCGCCCUGGGCGCGCACAGGUCGCCCGAGGAAAAUAAUCGCAAGGGUAUAUUUUUAAUGGGGAUCAAAGUUGUGUUCUUUUCAGACUUGUCUGGGGCAUAAGUUGGAAAUCAAACGCCCGACAAGUUUGUUACAUCCCUGCUGAAGGUCUCCAGGCUUAACUUAGUCAACGUUCUGAAUUACUUUUCCUAUUAAAUGAAUUCUUUCUUAAAACAUAGGGGGAAAAACUUGCCACUGAUAAGAUUGUUCUGUGAACCGUUCCUAACGAGCUGCUGUGCCAUUCCCUCAUGCUUUCGAUUUAUCUUGUUUAGAUCGCUUCCGUUUAAAGUAUUCCAGUCUUUUACUGCCCAUUAAGAGUUUGUUUUGUUUUAACUGGGAGCUUCAAAUAAAUUUUACAAGCUGCUAGAAAGCAAAAUAUUUUAUUUAUUUAAAUUGGCUUUUAUUCAGGUGAGUGGAUAUACAAAUAACUUUAACCUCUUAUCUCUUUCUGUAAUGUUUGUAAUACAAAUUUCAUUUUCGAUACACGUUCUUUGUUGGCUCCCCAAAGCCUUUCUUGCCCCAUACUUGAAGUCCAGAGGGGUUUUGGAGGCCUGGCUGCUGUAGGAGCACUCGUGGGUCUGGCUGCAAGGUAAGACUUCAGUCUUUAAAUCUGCAAUACUCUUCGCUGGAUGAAAUAACCCGCAGCGUCAGAGAAUCCCCUGGGUUUUGAGCAGACAGUUCACUUCAGUGUAGCAAUGACCUAACAUAAUAAUUUUGCUAAUUGGUUUUGUGCUGUUGAUCCAUUAUCCGUUUUUAUUUCCUAUUUAAAUCUGGCCAUGGUAAAAAUC